Molecule: ribosomal RNA, 881 nt
Filed under: uncultured archaeon pPCA14.41
Lineage: Archaea
Description: bacterial SSU rRNA
Rfam family: Archaeal small subunit ribosomal RNA
Source: RNAcentral
GGCCAUUGCUAUCGGAGUCCGAUUUAGCCAUGCUAGUUACACGAGUUUAGACUCGUAGCAUAUAGCUCAGUAACACGUGGCCAAACUACCCUACAGACCGCGAUAACCCCGGGAAACUGAGGCCAAUAGGCGGAUAUAACUCUCAUGCUGGAGUGCCGAGAGUUAGAAACGUUCCGGCGCUGUAGGAUGUGGCCGCGGCCGAUUAGGUAGAUGGUGGGGUAACGGCCCACCAUGCCGAUAAUCGGUACAGGUUGUGAGAGCAAGAGCCUGGAGACGGUAUCUGAGACAAGAUACCGGGCCCUACGGGGCGCAGCAGGCGCGAAACCUUUACACUGCACGACAGUGCGAUAGGGGGACUCCGAGUGUGAGGGCAUAUAGCCCUCGCUUUUCUGUACCGUAAGGUGGUACAGGAACAAGGACUGGGCAAGACCGGUGCCAGCCGCCGCGGUAAUACCGGCAGUCCAAGUGAUGGCCGAUAUUAUUGGGCCUAAAGCGUCCGUAGCUUGCUGUGUAAGUCCAUUGGGAAAUCGACCAGCUCAACUGGUCGGCGUCCGGUGGAAACUACACAGCUUGGGGCCGAGAGACUCAACGGGUACGUCCGGGGUAGGAGUGAAAUCCUGUAAUCCUGGACGGACCACCAAUGGGGAAACCACGUUGAGAGACCGGACCCGACAGUGAGGGACGAAAGCCAGGGUCUCGGACCGGAUUAGAUACCCGGGUAGUCCUGGCUGGAAACAAUGCUCGCUAGGUAUGUCACGCGCCAUGAGCACGUGAUGUGCCGUAGUGAAGACGAUAAGCGAGCCGCCUGGGAAGUACGUCCGCAAGGAUGAAACUUAAAGGAAUUGGCGGGGGAGCACCACAACCGGGGGAGCCUGCGGUUU